Humulus lupulus (European hop) is the source of this 1526-nucleotide long non-coding RNA. RefSeq lists it as uncharacterized. Lineage: Eukaryota; Viridiplantae; Streptophyta; Magnoliopsida; Rosales; Cannabaceae. The record is from RefSeq and is a predicted model, not a curated record. The transcript has 4 exons.
CAUAAAUGGUCUCGACAGAGGUGAGAUGCGUGGGUGUCAUGGCUGGUCUUGGUAGAGAAAUGCUCCCACUAAUUUCUAAAAUGAAAGGAUUUUGGAUUGAACAAAGUAGUGCUUCACCAAUUAGAAAAAAGGGAUAAUCUUUAUUGAGACUUGUAGCUGGUCCCAUAGCUCUUUUAAUCAUUUUGGAGAGUUUGUUAAAACAACAAGGGAUUUCUCCAGCCAAACUAUUUUUAGAAAGGUCCAAAAUUUGUAGAUUAGUGAGUUGACAUAGUUGUAAAGGAAUACUACUAGUCAACAUAUUUAUUAUUUUGAAUUCUUAGAAUCUGCAGUGCAGAAAAGUUUUUUCCAAUCCAAGUUGGUAUAAUUCCAGAAAAAUUAUUUCCUCCGAGAUCCAUAAGUUCAAACUGCCCACAAUUACUUAAGGCUUGAGGGAGCUCUCCAUGGAGAUUAUUGUCGUUCAAGUGCAACCAUAUCAGUGACGACAGGUUUUCAUUGCUUGUAGAGUAAGUAAAUCUAAUGGUCAAGCAGAUGAUCCCUACCGCAAACCAAAACCAGGGAUGUGGCAUCUUUUGGAAAAACACUUCAACUCUGGCAUUUCUAUUGAUAUGGAUAAAUCCUUUUAUGUUGGUGAUGUUGCUGGAAGAGAAAAUGAUCAUAGUGAUGCUGAUAUAAAAUUUGCAGAGGUACCGACUUUUUCUUACUUUUUUUUUUAUGAAGGUAAAAAGACAAUGUUCCUCAUUUUGUUAUAUUAUAACAAACUGAGUUUCUGUCCUUCGACCUACUAGUUUUCAAGUAAGCAUUUAGUAUUACUGUAGUAUACUUGUGUCAAAUUUGUAAUUCUACACUAAAUUCAAGGUGUCUGAUGAGUCCGUUUUUAGCAUAGUUUUUAACAUGUGUUUAGGGUAAGUUUGAGUCAUUUUGGUGGAGUGUUAUGCGGCAUUAUGCUUGUUUUGGUAUGUUUGCAGGAAAUAGGAGAAGGAAAUAUGAAGUUUGGGAAAAGACUGAAACAUCAGCUUAAUUUAGGAAAUUUAUGCUAAAAGUUGAAAAGAAGAAAGUCGAGGAUUCAUUUGCCGAGAUAAUUGUUCGUUUUGGAGUUUUGGAACAAGUUUUUGGGGUCAAUACGAAGGGCUACAUCGCUUGAAUGAAAAGCGCAGCGCAAGGAAGAAGCAGAGAGGGCCACUUUCUGGAGUUUUGAAGGGUCGCGGCGCAUGGGAGAAGGGCCGCGACGCUUGCUGAAAAUAGAAAGCGUGUUACGCAAAUUCAAAGAGGCGCGCCGCGGCACUUAAAUGCCAGCACCGCGGUGCGUGUAUUGGUUGCGUGGCUAUCAGAAGGGCGAAAAUCGUUAAACAUUUUUAGGGUUUCUAUUUAAAUACGUUUUUAAGAGUUAAUUAGGGGAGGGAUUCAUUUUUUAUGUGUGGAGAAAUUAUUAGAGACUUGGGAGAACAUUGAAGACUUGAUAGUUUGAUUUCUUGAUCUCUUCUAUAUUUCUCUUUUCUGGAGUUUAUGUUUAAUUAUAAUUUGAUUGA